Molecule: unclassified non-coding RNA, 170 nt
Filed under: uncultured Sebacinaceae
Lineage: Eukaryota; Fungi; Basidiomycota; Agaricomycetes; Sebacinales; Sebacinaceae
Description: sequence contains ITS1
Source: RNAcentral
AUGAUUACGAAUGGUGCCUUCUGUGCUGGCCGGAACACUGGCAAGUGCACGUUGGUGCUUUCAUCCAAUCUCCUGUGAACCUUUGGCCUCUUGCUCGCCUCGGCUGGCAGAGGAAUUUUACACAAACUCGAAUGUAAUGAGAUAUAUUGUCGUGCGCAAGCACUAAUGUA